AAUAUUGGACAAUGGUUGCAACGCUGAUCCAGCCAUGCCUCGUGUUUGAAUAAGAUCUUCGGAUUGUAAAGCACUUUAAGUUGAGAGGAAGGGUUGUCGAUUCAUACUCUGCAAUUUUGACGUUACCAACAGAAUAAGCACCGACUAACUUCGUGCCUUAAGCUGCGGUAAUACGAAGGGUGCAAGCGUUAAUCGGAAUUACUGGGCGUAAAGCGCGCGUAGGUGGUUCAGUAAGAUGGGUGUGAAAUCCCCGGGCUUAACCUGGGAACUGCUUUCAUAACUGCUGAGCUAGAGUACGGUAGAGGGUAGUGGAAUUUCCUGUGUAGCGGUGAAAUGCGUAGAUAUAGGAAGGAACACCAGUGGCGAAGGCGACUACCUGGACUGAUACUGACACUGAGGUGCGAAAGCGUGGGGAGCAAAC
RNAcentral lists this ribosomal RNA (421 nucleotides) under uncultured bacterium. Its description in RNAcentral is "partial 16S ribosomal RNA". It matches the Rfam family "Bacterial small subunit ribosomal RNA", at positions 360 to 773 of the family's 1533-position model. The record is from RNAcentral.